Molecule: long non-coding RNA, 220 nt
Filed under: Helianthus annuus (common sunflower)
Lineage: Eukaryota; Viridiplantae; Streptophyta; Magnoliopsida; Asterales; Asteraceae
Description: sRNA HanXRQr2_Chr09g0399031
Source: RNAcentral
AAAUAAAUAGAGUUUAUGUUAAUUAAGAGAUAUAAUAAAAUAAUGAAAAUAAAAAAAUAAAUAGAUUUUGUAAAAUUGAUUUAAACUUAAAUAAAAUUAGGUGUUAGUACCCAAAUGUGUGUUACAAAAUUGAAACCAUAGAACCUAAACCUGUUAAAAAAAUAAGUUAGUACCCAAAGACGAAAUUAUGUAUAAACCACAGGAUCCAUUUGUGUAAUUA